GGUAGACGCUACGGACUAAAAUCCGUUGGCUUUUAAGACCGUGAGGGUUCAAGUCCCUCUACCCCCA
This 67-nucleotide transfer RNA is filed under the name Leptoscyphus australis. Its description in RNAcentral is "partial tRNA-Leu". Lineage: Eukaryota; Viridiplantae; Streptophyta; Jungermanniopsida; Jungermanniales; Lophocoleaceae. The record is from RNAcentral.